Molecule: long non-coding RNA, 407 nt
Organism: Aegilops tauschii subsp. strangulata
Lineage: Eukaryota; Viridiplantae; Streptophyta; Magnoliopsida; Poales; Poaceae
Source: RefSeq, a predicted model, not a curated record
CUGUACGAUUGUGGCGCCACUGCCGUCGUCGCGGAUGUGGCAGCCGCGCUCGCGAGCACCGGCGGUAUCCAGGCGUCCUCUCCCUCUGUCGUCGCCUCCGAGAGAGGUACCGGAGCGGCGAGCUGAAGAGGGCUCUUUUCCGAGGCUGAAGCCUACGCCUUCAAGCUUUCUGGAAGAUGGCAUUAGGCAGUAUUCUUUCCGAUGGAGACAACUUCUGAUGCUACCUAGAUUGGCCGAUCUACUUUUUUUAUCAGCGACGCUACUAUCUAUUUCAUGAGGAUGCACUUGGCAGAUCUGUAAGAUCGCAAUGUUCAGCCUGGCUUCUAUCUUUGAUCUGGUAUUGUUGAGGAUAUAGACCUUGGAGUCACCCGCCAGGAUGGCCGGGUUACCCUAAGGAUCAUUACCAG